GUCUAUGGCCAUACCACCCUGAACAAGUGAUCUCGGAAGCUAAGCAGGGUCGGACCUGGUUAGUAUGUGGAUGGGAAAAUAGCACGGCUACACGUGUGUCAGUGUGCCCAGAGU
RNAcentral lists this ribosomal RNA (114 nucleotides) under Bison bison bison. The record is from RNAcentral. Lineage: Eukaryota; Metazoa; Chordata; Mammalia; Artiodactyla; Bovidae.